AUACGGAGGAUGCGAGCGUUAUCCGGAUUUAUUGGGUUUAAAGGGUGCGUAGGCGGAAUGGUAAGUCAGUGGUGAAAUGGUGCAGCUCAACUGUAGCAUUGCCAUUGAUACUGUCAUUCUUGAGUACAGAUGAGGUAGGCGGAAUGUGGUGUGUAGCGGUGAAAUGCUUAGAUAUACCACAGAACACCGAUUGCGAAGGCAGCUUACUAAGCUGACACUGACGCUGAAGCACGAAAGCGUGGGUAUC
Molecule: ribosomal RNA, 247 nt
Filed under: uncultured bacterium
Lineage: Bacteria
Description: partial 16S ribosomal RNA
Rfam family: Bacterial small subunit ribosomal RNA
Source: RNAcentral